GAUGAACGCUGGCGGCGUGCCUAAUACAUGCAAGUCGAGCGAACGGACGAGAAGCUUGCUUCUCUGAUGUUAGCGGCGGACGGGUGAGUAACACGUGGAUAACCUACCUAUAAGACUGGGAUAACUUCGGGAAACCGGAGCUAAUACCGGAUAAUAUUUUGAACCGCAUGGUUCAAAAGUGAAAGACGGUCUUGCUGUCACUUAUAGAUGGAUCCGCGCUGCAUUAGCUAGUUGGUAAGGUAACGGCUUACCAAGGCAACGAUGCAUAGCCGACCUGAGAGGGUGAUCGGCCACACUGGAACUGAGACACGGUCCAGACUCCUACGGGAGGCAGCAGUAGGGAAUCUUCCGCAAUGGGCGAAAGCCUGACGGAGCAACGCCGCGUGAGUGAUGAAGGUCUUCGGAUCGUAAAACUCUGUUAUUAGGGAAGAACAUAUGUGUAAGUAACUGUGCACAUCUUGACGGUACCUAAUCAGAAAGCCACGGCUAACUACGUGCCAGCAGCCGCGGUAAUACGUAGGUGGCAAGCGUUAUCCGGAAUUAUUGGGCGUAAAGCGCGCGUANGCGGUUUUUUAAGUCUGAUGUGAAAGCCCACGGCUCAACCGUGGAGGGUCAUUGGAAACUGGAAAACUUGAGUGCAGAAGAGGAAAGUGGAAUUCCAUGUGUAGCGGUGAAAUGCGCAGAGAUAUGGAGGAACACCAGUGGCGAAGGCGACUUUCUGGUCUGUAACUGACGCUGAUGUGCGAAAGCGUGGGGAUCAAACAGGAUUAGAUACCCUGGUAGUCCACGCCGUAAACGAUGAGUGCUAAGUGUUAGGGGGUUUCCGCCCCUUAGUGCUGCAGCUAACGCAUUAAGCACUCCGCCUGGGGAGUACGACCGCAAGGUUGAAACUCAAAGGAAUUGACGGGGACCCGCACAAGCGGUGGAGCAUGUGGUUUAAUUCGAAGCAACGCGAAGAACCUUACCAAAUCUUGACAUCCUUUGACAACUCUAGAGAUAGAGCCUUCCCCUUCGGGGGACAAAGUGACAGGUGGUGCAUGGUUGUCGUCAGCUCGUGUCGUGAGAUGUUGGGUUAAGUCCCGCAACGAGCGCAACCCUUAAGCUUAGUUGCCAUCAUUAAGUUGGGCACUCUAAGUUGACUGCCGGUGACAAACCGGAGGAAGGUGGGGAUGACGUCAAAUCAUCAUGCCCCUUAUGAUUUGGGCUACACACGUGCUACAAUGGGCAAUACAAAGGGCAGCGAAACCGCGAGGUCAAGCAAAUCCCAUAAAGUUGUUCUCAGUUCGGAUUGUAGUCUGCAACUCGACUACAUGAAGCUGGAAUCGCUAGUAAUCGUAGAUCAGCAUGCUACGGUGAAUACGUUCCCGGGUCU
Molecule: ribosomal RNA, 1372 nt
Filed under: uncultured bacterium
Lineage: Bacteria
Description: bacterial SSU rRNA
Rfam family: Bacterial small subunit ribosomal RNA
Source: RNAcentral